This is a transfer RNA of 71 nucleotides. It matches the Rfam family "tRNA". From Rfam's summary of the family: Transfer RNA (tRNA) molecules are approximately 80 nucleotides in length. Their secondary structure includes four short double-helical elements and three loops (D, anti-codon, and T loops). Further hydrogen bonds mediate the characteristic L-shaped molecular structure. tRNAs have two regions of fundamental functional importance: the anti-codon, which is responsible for specific mRNA codon recognition, and the 3' end, to which the tRNAs corresponding amino acid is attached (by aminoacyl-tRNA synthetases). tRNAs cope with the degeneracy of the genetic code in two manners: having more than one tRNA (with a specific anti-codon) for a particular amino acid; and 'wobble' base-pairing, i.e. permitting non-standard base-pairing at the 3rd anti-codon position.
GUAAUUAUAGUUAAAUGGUAUAACAUAUGCUUGUGGUGCAUUACGUCUGAGUUCGAUUCUCAGUAUUUACC